AGGGCGCAGGGCGAAUGCCUUGGCACUGGGAGCCGAUGAAAGACGUGAUAAGCUGCGAUAAGCUUCGGGGAGCUGCAAAUAAGCAUUGAUCCGGAGAUUUCUGAAUGAGGAAACUCACCUGGGUUCAUACUCAGGUACGUUAUACUGAACUUCAAAAUAGGUAUAUCGAGGGAACCGCCUGAACUGAAACAUCUAAGUAGGGCGAGGAAGAGACAUCAAACGAGAUUCCGUAAGUAGUGGCGAGCGAACGCGGAAGAGGGCAAACCGGAAGUAGAAAUACUUCCGGGGUACGGACUGCUUUUAGGACUUAAUCUGUUAACCGAACGGCAUGGGAAGGCCGGUCAGAGAGUGUGAGAACCACGUAGGUGAAAACGGAGAGAGCUGCGCAGGAUCCAGAGUACGGCCAGACACGUGAAACCUGGUCGGAAUACGGGGGGACCACCCUCCAACCCUAAAUACUACCCAGUGACCGAUAGCGUAUAGUACUGUGAAGGAAAGGUGAAAAGCACCCCGGGAGGGGAGUGAAAAAGAACCUGAAACCCUGUGCCUACAAGCACCUAGAGCACGUCAAUGUGUGAUAGGGUACUUUUUGUAGAACGGUCCGGCGAGCGAUUGUAUGCAGCAAGGUUAAGGACUUAAGGUCUGGAGCCGAAGCGAAAGCGAGUUUGAAAAGGGCGUUAAGUUGCAUAUAAUGGGCCCGAAACCGGGUGACCUACCCAUGGUCAGGUUGAAGUGGAAGUAAAAUUCCAUGGAGGACCGAACCGACCUCCGUUGAAAAGGCGGCGGAUGAACUGUGGGUAGCGGAGAAAUUCCAAUCGAACCCGGAGAUAGCUGGUUCUCCCCGAAAUAGUUUUAGGACUAGCCUCAAGUUAGAUACCUGGAGGUAAAGCACUGAAUAGCCUAGCGGCCGAGAGGUUAGCGAAGCUUAUCAAACUCAGAAUGCCAGAGUAUUGAUGCUUGGGAGUCAGACAGUGUCAGAUAAAUGUCAUUGUCAAAAGGGAAACAGCCCAGAUCUACAGCUAAGGUCCCAAAGUCAGGUUAAGUGGAAAACGAUGUGAAGAUACGCAGACAACCAGGAUGUUGGCUCAGAAGCAGCCACUCAUUCAAAGAGUGCGUAAUAGCUCACUGGUCGAGCGUCUUUGCGCGGAGAAUUUAACGGGGCUAAACCUGACACCGAAGCUUAGGCAAUACAGCAAUGUAUUGGGUAGGGGAGCGUUGUAUACGCGGUGAAACAGUAGCGCAAGCGGCUGUGGAGUGUAUAGAAGUGAGAAUGCCGGAAUGAGUAGCGCGAAUGCAGUGAGAAUCUGCAUGGCCGAAAGCCUCAGGUUUCUGGAGGAAGGUUCGUCCGCUCCAGGUUAGUCGGGAGCUAAGGUGAGGCCUAACGGCGUAGCCGAUGCACAGACGGUAGAGAUUCCGUCACCACCAAAAGAGUUAAACACAGGGACACAUUUGAAGUCUCGGAGCCGGGUGUUGGUUCCGGUAGCGAUCGAGGGAAGUUAGUACCGAAGUCCGGGAUGGAAGAUGGCGAGAAAAGCUGUGUGUAUUUCUGCGGUGCCCGUACCGCAAACCGACACAGGUAGGUAGGAAGAAGAUUCUAAGGCCAACGGGAGAAGGGUUGUUAAGGAACUCGGCAAAUUGACCCCGUAACUUCGGGAGAAGGGGUGCUCCAGAGAUGGAGCCGCAGAGAAUCGGCCCAAGCAACUGUUUACCAAAAACACAGGUUUGUGCUAAAUCGAAAGAUGACGUAUACGAGCUGACGCCUGCCCGGUGCUGGAAGGUUAAGAGGAGAUGUGCAAGCAUUGAAUCGAAGCCCCAGUGAACGGCGGCCGUAACUAUAACGGUCCUAAGGUAGCGAAAUUCCUUGUCAGGUAAGUUCUGACCCGCACGAAAGGCGUAAUGAUCUGGGAGCUGUCUCGACCAUAGACUCGGUGAAAUCUUAAUACCUGUGAAAAUGCAGGUUACCCGCGAUAGGACGGAAAGACCCCAUGGAGCUUUACUGUAGCUUGAUAUUGGAAUCAGAUAAUUUUUGUAGAGGAUAGGUGGUAGGCUUUGAAGUGUAGACGCCAGUUUACAUGGAGCCACCCUUGGAAUACCACCCUGAAGUUGUUUGAUUUCUAACUCGCACCCAUUAUCUGGGUGGAGGACAGUGUCUGGUGGGCAGUUUGACUGGGGCGGUCGCCUCCCAAAGAGUAACGGAGGCGCCCAAAGGUUCCCUCAGCAUGGAUGGAAAUCAUGCGAAGAGUGUAAUAGUAUAAGGGAGCUUGACUGUGAGACUUACAAGUCGAGCAGGUACGAAAGUAGGGUAUAGUGAUCAGGCGGUUGAAUAUGGAAUUGCCGUCGCUUAACGGAUAAAAGUUACCCUGGGGAUAACAGGCUGAUACCACCCAAUAGUUCACAUAGACGGUGGUGAUUGGCACCUCGAUGUCGGCUCGUCACAUCCUGGAGGUGGAUUCGCUUCCAAGGGUUGGGCUGUUCGCCCAUUAAAGUGGCACGCGAGCUGGGUUCAGAACGU
This 2512-nucleotide ribosomal RNA is filed under the name human gut metagenome. RNAcentral describes it as "bacterial LSU rRNA". It matches the Rfam family "Bacterial large subunit ribosomal RNA", at positions 14 to 2619 of the family's 2925-position model. The record is from RNAcentral.